CGGAGGGUGCAAGCGUUAUCCGGAUUCACUGGGUUUAAAGGGUGCGUAGGUGGGCAGGUAAGUCAGUGGUGAAAUCUCUGGGCUUAACCCAGAAACUGCCGUUGAUACUAUCUGUCUUGAAUAUAGUGGAGGUGAGCGGAAUAUGUCAUGUAGCGGUGAAAUGCUUAGAUAUGACAUAGAACACCCAUUGCGAAGGCAGCUCGCUACACUAUUAUUGACACUGAGGCACGAAAGCGUGGGGAUCAAACAGGAUUAGAUACCCUGGUAGUCCACGCCCUAAACGAUGGAUACUCGACAUCAGCGAUACACUGUUGGUGUCUGAGCGAAAGCAUUAAGUAUCCCGCCUGGGAAGUACGACCGCAAGGUUG
RNAcentral lists this ribosomal RNA (368 nucleotides) under uncultured organism. RNAcentral's name for it is "bacterial SSU rRNA". It matches the Rfam family "Bacterial small subunit ribosomal RNA", at positions 526 to 896 of the family's 1533-position model. The record is from RNAcentral.